RNAcentral lists this ribosomal RNA (290 nucleotides) under uncultured bacterium. RNAcentral's name for it is "partial 16S ribosomal RNA". It matches the Rfam family "Bacterial small subunit ribosomal RNA", at positions 506 to 796 of the family's 1533-position model. The record is from RNAcentral.
GUCCAGCGCCGCGGUAAUACGGAGGGUGCAAGCGUUGUCCGGAAUCACUGGGUGUAAAGGGUGUGCAGGCGGGGCAGCAAGUCGAAUGUGAAACCCCAUGGCUUAAUCAUGGUGGUGCAUUCGAAACUGUUGCUCUUGAGUCCCGGAGAGGCUGUCGGAAUUCGUGGUGUAGCGGUGAAAUGCGUAGAUAUCACGAGGAACACCAGAGGCGAAAACGGACAGCUGGACGGGUACUGACGCUCAGGCACGAAAGCGUGGGGAGCAAACAGGAUUAGAAACCCUUGUAGUCC